RNAcentral lists this ribosomal RNA (436 nucleotides) under uncultured bacterium. RNAcentral's name for it is "bacterial SSU rRNA". It matches the Rfam family "Bacterial small subunit ribosomal RNA", at positions 28 to 465 of the family's 1533-position model. The record is from RNAcentral.
GAUGAACGCUAGCGGCAGGCUUAACACAUGCAAGUCGUGGGGCAGCGCGGACUUCGGUCUGGCGGCGACCGGCAAACGGGUGCGGAACACGUACGCAACCUCCCUCAGAGCGGGGAAUAGCCUCUCGAAAGAGAGAUUAAUACCCCAUAGUAUCUUGAAGACACAUGUCUAUGAGAUUAAAGCUUCGGCACUUUGAGAUGGGCGUGCGGCUGAUUAGGUAGUUGGUAGGGUAACGGCCUACCAAGCCGACGAUCAGUAGCUGAUGUGAGAGCAUGAUCAGCCACACGGGCACUGAGACACGGGCCCGACUCCUACGGGAGGCAGCAGUGAGGAAUAUUGGUCAAUGGAGGAAACUCUAGAACCAGCCAUGCCGCGUGGAGAUGAAGGUCCUCUGGAUUGUAACUCUUUAUAAAGAAGAAACCCCAUUUUUACUAAA